This 413-nucleotide long non-coding RNA is filed under the name Cricetulus griseus (Chinese hamster). RNAcentral's name for it is "lncRNA (ENSCGRG00015036281.1)". Lineage: Eukaryota; Metazoa; Chordata; Mammalia; Rodentia; Cricetidae. The record is from RNAcentral.
UAUGAGUCUUUGGGGGCCAUUUUCAUCCAAACCACCACACUCUUCCAGCAGACAUAGGAAACUGGAAAAGUAGAGAAUUGUCAGGAGCCAUUAAAGACACAAAUGGAUGAUGUGGAAGACAGUCUAGCCAAGCGACCCAUGUGUACCUACAACUCAGCAGGUGUUGGCUUGUGUCUGAGGGAGAAGGUUCUUGAGAUUGUUUGGUCAAGGAAGACAUUUGGAAAAUGGACAUUGGAAUCACCCACAUGAAGAGAUGAACCCAGCUGCCCUUCGGAGACUCUUCUAGAUGAGGCUGGGAUGAGACCAGGCUCAGUGUGUUGGGAGAUGGACAGCACGGAACAGAGAAGGAGGUGGGGUGAGACAUAAGUAAGUAAUCUUGAAAAGGUAGGUAGACAGGGAUGAUAUCAUGGGGG